Long non-coding RNA from Oncorhynchus kisutch (coho salmon), 564 nucleotides. RefSeq lists it as uncharacterized. The transcript is spliced from 3 exons. Lineage: Eukaryota; Metazoa; Chordata; Actinopteri; Salmoniformes; Salmonidae. The record is from RefSeq and is a predicted model, not a curated record.
CAGCCCAGUACAUCACAAAGGGUUCUUGGCACUGAAAAUGGCCCCCAAAAGGUUCUUCCAAGAACCCCAUAGGAGGUGGGGUUCAUUGAGAACCCCAUCCAACUAACUGCCCAAUUUAAACAUUUUGAUUUGAAAGAUCAACAGGUGCAGGCACUUAACUGAAAAAAUGUAAAGAUCUCCUCAAUUUAAGAAAAUGGACACAAUUCAAUGGAUAUCAAGAGGGAAGAAUAUGUAGGCUGUUGGAAUAUGAUGAAGGCUAGCUGUAUUGCGUGCAGAUGACUGAACUGCUCACUUCUGUGUCUGUAGGUAUACAGACAACGAGGCAUACAAAGUUAUAUCAAUUGGAUUCACGGACUUCACCCUCCCUACACCUCUGAUGAAUAUAACAGAAAACCUGUUCUAUCACCAUGCACUGCAAAAUCAUUUUGGUUAUGGAUACGGAGAACAUCAACACAUUAAUAUCACCACACCAGAGGAUAUAUCCAUUGGACUUGCUAGGAGUUUACCUCAUAUUUGGAUGUUUUUAUUCUGCUUUGCCACUAAAAUCAUAAUAAACACUGAGAA